UUGGCAGGUGCAACCACAGCCUCUUCCUGUGGUGAUGGGAGGGUUACAAGGUUUUAUAGAGCAUGGAUCUUAUCACGGUUAGGUUAUUUUCUUUUAAUUGCCAGCUCUGAUUUCAUUAGACUGGUUGGACAAAGAGCAUGUGAUGUGAGGGGAAGGGAUGUCUGCUCCCAUGUCACAGGAGGACAAGUGAUGUCACAGGAAAGGCAAUAAUAUCAGACAGCAUAUCAAGAAGAAGGGAAGUGACGUCACAAGGAAGAAUGAGGCUGGACUGUAUGUCACAUGAAGGGACGGGAAGUUGACGUGUCACAGGAAGGAAAAAGGAGGCCCUGGGGGAGCAAAGUAACCCAGCCAAGAUUUCACCAGGACAAAGUCUGUCUGGAGAUGCAUGAAGCAGGAGCCACUGAAUGGGAUGAGAGGCCAAUGGGAAAGUAAACCCUGGGAGAGGAGGAAGGAAAUAACCAGAGGCUCCAUCUCAUUGUCUUAUUACAGGAAAGGCCCCUCCUCCUGUCACUCAAUUGCUUUGUACCCAUAAGCCAGCUGUAAUCAGAGGAAAGAAUAGGACACAUACAGCUCCAUGGACAUACUGGCCACUGCUUAAUGCUAUUCCUGCCUUGGGGCUCAUACAACGCCUUCCUUUUCUGCCGCAAUGGACUGCCUUUUGCCUUGAUUCCCUCAUGCCACCAGCAGAGAAAAAACUCUCCUCUUUCUCAUCAGCUCAGAGCCCGGUUUUAAUCAUCAUGCCCGUACCUCACAUUGGGAAGGAGACUCAUGAGAUCUGACUGUAAGACCCAAGUUGUUGUGCUUUUCACACUGACAAGUUUUUGGAGGACCCUUCAAAAUAAU
This is a long non-coding RNA of Mauremys reevesii (Reeves's turtle), 843 nucleotides long. RefSeq lists it as uncharacterized. NCBI's taxonomy places the organism in Eukaryota, Metazoa, Chordata, Testudines, Geoemydidae. The record is from RefSeq and is a predicted model, not a curated record. The transcript is spliced from 3 exons.